GAAAAUCCGUCGACUUUGUAAAUCGUGAGGGUUCAAGUCCCUCUAUCCCC
RNAcentral lists this transfer RNA (50 nucleotides) under Bossiaea aquifolium subsp. laidlawiana. Its description in RNAcentral is "partial tRNA-Leu". Lineage: Eukaryota; Viridiplantae; Streptophyta; Magnoliopsida; Fabales; Fabaceae. The record is from RNAcentral. RNAcentral also lists the same sequence under 1 other name.